GGUCAGUGUUAGGUCAGUGUUAGGUCAGUGUAGAUCAGUGUUAAGUCAGUGUAGAUCAGUGUUAGGUCAGUGUAGGUCAGUGUUAGGUCAGUGUAGAUCAGUGUUAGGUCAGUGUAGGUCAGUGUUAGGUCAGUGUUAGGUCAGUGUAGAUCAGUGUUAGAUCAGUGUUCGGUCCGUGUAGAUCAGUGUUAGGUCAGUGUAGAUCAGUGAUAGAUCAGUGUUAGGUCAGUGUAGAUCAGUGUUAGGUCAGUGUAGAGCAGUGUUAGGUCAGUGUAGAUCAGUGUUAGGUCAGUGUAGAUCAGUGUAGAUCAGUGUUAGAUCAGUGUAGAUCAGUGUUAGGUCAGUGUUAGGUCAGUGUAGAUCAGUGUUAGAUCAGUGUUCGGUCCGUGUAGAUCAGUGUAGAUCAGUGUUAGGUCAGUGUAGAUCAGUGUUAGGUCAGUGUAGAUCAGUGUUAGGUCAGUGUAGGUCAGUGUUAGGUCAGUGUAGAUCAGUGUUAGAUCAGUGUAGGUCAGUGUUAGGUCAGUGUUAGGUCAGUGUAGAUCAGUGUUAGAUCAGUGUAGAUCAGUGUAGAUCAGUGUUGGGUCAGUAUAGAUCAGUGUUAGGUCAGUGUAGAUCAGUGUUAGGUCAGUGUAGAUCAGUGUUAGGUCAGUGUAGAUCAGUGAUAGAUCAGUGUUAGGUCAGUGUAGAUCAGUGUUAGGUCAGUGUAGAUCAGUGUUAGGUCAGUGUUAGAUCAGUGUUAGGUCAGUGUAGAUCAGUGUUAGGUCAGUGUAGAUCAGUGUUAGGUCAGUGUAGAUCAGUGUAGAUCAGUGUUAGGUCAGUGUAGAUCAGUGUUAGGUCAGUGUAGAUCAGUGUUAGGUCAGUGUAGAUCAGUGUAGAUCAGUGUUAGGUCAGUGUAGAUCAGUGAUAUAUCAGUGUUAGGUCAGUGUAGAUCAGUGAUAGAUCAGUGAUAGAUCAGUGUUAGGUCAGUGUAGAUCAGUGUUAGGUCAGUGUAGAUCAGUGAUAGAUCAGUGUUAGGUCAGUGUAGAUCAGUGUUAGAUCAGUGUUAGGUCAGUGUAGAUCAGUGUUAGGUCAGUGUAGAUCAGUGUUAGGUCAGUGUAGAUCAGUGUAGAUCAGUGUUAGGUCAGUGUAGAUCAGUGUUAGGUCAGUGUAGGUCAGUGUUAGGUCAGUGUAGGUCAGUGUUAGGUCAGUAUAGAUCAGUGUUAGAUCAGUGUUGGGUCAGUGUAGAUCAGUGUUAGGUCAGUAUAGAUCAGUGUUAGAUCAGUGUUAGGUCAGUGUAGAUCAGUGUAGAUCAGUGUUAGAUCAGUGUUCGGUCCGUGUAGAUCAGUGUUAGGUCAGUGUAGAUCAGUGUUAGGUCAGUGUAGAUCAGUGUUAGGUCAGUGUAGAUCAGUGUAGAUCAGUGUUAGGUCAGUGUAGAUCAGUGUAGAUCAGUCUUAAGUCAGUGUAGAUCAGUGUAGAUCAGUGUAGAUCAGUGUAGAUCAGUGAUAGAUCAGUGUUAGGUCAGUGUAGAUCAGUGUUAGGUCAGUGUAGAUCAGUGUUAGGUCAGUGUAGAUCAGUGUUAGGUCAGUGUAGAUCAGUGUAGAUCAGUGUUAAGUCAGUGUAGAUCAGUGUUAAGUCAGUGUAGAUCAGUGUUAGGUCAGUGUAGAUCAGUGUUAGGUCAGUGUAGAUCAUUGUAGAUCAGUGUUAGGUCAGUGUAGAUCAGUGUAGAUCAGUGUUAAGUCAGUGUAGAUCAGUGUUAGGUCAGUGUAGAUCAGUGUAGAUCAGUGUUAGGUCAGUGUAGAUCAGUGUUAAGUCAGUGUAGAUCAGUGUUAGGUCAGUGUAGAUCAGUGUUAGGUCAGUGUAGAUCAGUGUAGAUCAGUGUUAAGUCAGUGUAGAUCAGUGUUAGGUCAGUGUAGAUCAGUGUUAGGUCAGUGUAGAUCAGUGUAGAUCAGUGUUAAGUCAGUGUAGAUCAGUGUAGAUCAGUGUUAGGUCAGUGUAGAUCAGUGUAGAUCAGUGUAGAUCAGUGUAGAUCAGUGUUAAGUCAGUGUAGAUCAGUGUAGAUCAGUGUUAGGUCAGUGUAGAUCAGUGUAGAUCAGUGUUAGGUCAGUGUAGAUCAGUGUAGAUCAGUGUUAGGUCAGUGUAGAUCAGUGUAGAUCAGUGUAGAUCAGUGUAGAUCAGUGUUAGGUCAGUGUAGAUCAGUGUUAGGUCAGUGUAGAUCAGUGUUAGGUCAGUGUAGAUCAGUGUAGAUCAGUGUUAGGUCAGUGUAGAUCAGUGUUAGGUCAGUGUAGAUCAGUGUUAGGUCAGUGUAGAUCAGUGUAGAUCAGUGUUAGGUCAGUGUAGAUCAGUGUAGAUCAGUGUUAGGUCAGUGUAGAUCAGUGUUAAGUCAGUGUAGAUCAGUGUAGAUCAGUGUUAGGUCAGUGUAGAUCAGUGUAGAUCAGUGUUAGGUCAGUGUAGAUCAGUGUUAAGUCAGUGUAGAUCAGUGUUAAGUCAGUGUAGAUCAGUGUAGAUCAGUGUAGAUCAGUGUUAGGUCAGUGUAGAUCAGUGUUAAGUCAGUGUAGAUCAGUGUUAGGUCAGUGUAGAUCAGUGUAGAUCAGUGUUAGGUCAGUGUAGAUCAGUGUUAAGUCAGUGUAGAUCAGUGUUAAGUCAGUGUAGAUCAGUGUAGAUCAGUGUAGAUCAGUGUUAGGUCAGUGUAGAUCAGUGUUAAGUCAGUGUAGAUCAGUGUUAAGUCAGUGUAGAUCAGUGUAGAUCAGUGUAGAUCAGUGUUAGGUCAGUGUAGAUCAGUGUUAAGUCAGUGUAGAUCAGUGUUAAGUCAGUGUAGAUCAGUGUAGAUCAGUGUUAGGUCAGUGUAGAUCAGUGUAGAUCAGUGUUAGGUCAGUGUAGAUCAGUGUUAAGUCAGUGUAGAUCAGUGUAGAUCAGUGUUAGGUCAGUGUAGAUCAGUGUAGAUCAGUGUUAGGUCAGUGUAGAUCAGUGUUAAGUCAGUGUAGAUCAGUGUAGAUCAGUGUAGAUCAGUGUUAGGUCAGUGUAGAUCAGUGUUAAGUCAGUGUAGAUCAGUGUUAAGUCAGUGUAGAUCAGUGUUAGGUCAGUGUAGAUCAGUGUAGAUCAGUGUUAGGUCAGUGUAGGUCAGUGUAGAUCAGUGUUAAGUCAGUGUAGAUCAGUGUUAGGUCAGUGUAGAUCAGUGUUAGGUCAGUGUAGAUCAGUGUAGAUCAGUGUUAGGUCAGUGUAGAUCAGUGUUAGGUCAGUGUAGAUCAGUGUAGAUCAGUGUAGAUCAUUGGCUUUAUUGGAAACCCCUGCUCUGUGCUUCUUGGAGUCUUUGGAAGAUUAGGGUUUUACCUGGAGGAUCAGUUGUUGGAAGCACUUUAGUCACAGAAAUAAGCAGAGCCCUGUUCUUAUCCAGUGCUAAACAAGUUCAGGAGCUGCUCAUUUGACAUUCAUGAGUAUUUGAGCGAGGUCAUUAUGUAAAAUGCUCUGGAUGAGUGGUGUUUAGAGUGUGGGGGCUGCCUGGGUUUCAGUGGGAUAUGAAGAAUGGUUCUUUUUUUUUUUUU
This is a long non-coding RNA of Astyanax mexicanus (Mexican tetra), 3518 nucleotides long. RefSeq lists it as uncharacterized. The transcript is spliced from 3 exons. The record is from RefSeq and is a predicted model, not a curated record. Lineage: Eukaryota; Metazoa; Chordata; Actinopteri; Characiformes; Acestrorhamphidae.